This 580-nucleotide ribosomal RNA is filed under the name uncultured bacterium. RNAcentral describes it as "partial 16S ribosomal RNA". It matches the Rfam family "Bacterial small subunit ribosomal RNA", at positions 355 to 932 of the family's 1533-position model. The record is from RNAcentral.
UGGGGAAUUUUGGACAAUGGGCGAAAGCCUGAUCCAGCAAUGCCGCGUGUGUGAAGAAGGCCUUCGGGUUGUAAAGCACUUUUGUCCGGGAAAGAAAUCCUUGGCUCUAAUACAGUCGGGGGAUGACGGUACCGGAAGAAUAAGCACCGGCUAACUACGUGCCAGCAGCCGCGGUAAUACGUAGGGUGCAAGCGUUAAUCGGAAUUACUGGGCGUAAAGCGUGCGCAGGCGGUUUGCUAAGACCGAUGUGAAAUCCCCGGGCUCAACCUGGGAACUGCAUUGGUGACUGGCAGGCUAGAGUAUGGCAGAGGGGGGUAGAAUUCCACGUGUAGCAGUGAAAUGCGUAGAGAUGUGGAGGAAUACCGAUGGCGAAGGCAGCCCCCUGGGCCAAUACUGACGCUCAUGCACGAAAGCGUGGGGAGCAAACAGGAUUAGAUACCCUGGUAGUCCACGCCCUAAACGAUGUCAACUAGUUGUUGGGGAUUCAUUUCCUUAGUAACGUAGCUAACGCGUGAAGUUGACCGCCUGGGGAGUACGGUCGCAAGAUUAAAACUCAAAGGAAUUGACGGGGUCAUAGCUG